GUAUGCCGUGUGGCCGCUACCUCGCAGGCUCUCCCGGUCCCUGCUGGCGCGGCAGUGCCGCGCGGUGGGUGAUGGGAGAGCGCGCCCAUUCCCACGCCGCGCCAAGUGCCACGGGAUCAGGUGGGGCCGCGUGUACAGGCGCGAGACGGUCGGGCCAAAGCUGCCCCUCAUGAUCCCCAGCGGACGGUGCCCGGCGGUCCCUCAGAUCCGGGAAAUCUGCACCCGGCUGUGGCGUAGACCGAGGGGCCGAUGCUGCUUCAGCCCGCCGUUACUGCCCUGGCGUCAGCCAGACACUGGGGUGCUGCUGGGCGUCGAGAGGGCUGCUGCGGGGCCGGGCUAAGCCUGGGGGGCUGCAGGUGUCGGGGUGGAUGUGGGCAUAGCGGGGCUGCUGGGCCUCGUGAGCGCCCUGGAACGGCGUGCCCGCGGAGUGCCUCUCAUCACUCAUUGCCAGUGCGGGGAACCUUGUUAGGGCCCGGUUCGACGUAGCUGCAGGCUGGGCGCCAGAGGCAGGGGGCAGGCAGUCCGAGAGGACCCUCUACCUGCAUACCUGGGGGCUGCAGGCAGGGCCUCUGGGCCUCCUUGUUGUGGAUAUAAUUGUGUGCUUCCCGACUCAGGCCGAGGCUGGACCCGGAGACGACAGCGAGGGCAGGCUACCAAGCCCUCCCCACAGGGCCGUGCCCAGCCCAAGCCUGCCGAGUCAGCACCCAGAUCCUGGGACAAGAUAGGUGAGGAUGAAGUGGUGGUGCUCUUCUCACUUGCACAAGCCGUCCCACGCCACCUCUCCUCGGCUUCACGGUGCCUAGAGAAGAGGUGGGAGAGGGUGCAGGCGCCCCAGCUCAGGAUCUGAUGCCUGUGGGCCAAGGACCUGGAUGCAAGCCAGGAGUCCUUGGGGCCACGGGCAGGCAGCCGGAUUCACCGGAAAGUGACGCUUCUCAAGGGGAACACACACGUAACACACCAGCUCCCUUUCUGCCCUGGUCCAGUGACUCCUUUCAUGAAAGCUCUCUGAAAUGUUAUCUGCAUUUACACCCAAACUCACUCACUUUGAUCCCUGAAACGCGAAUCAAAGGUCACAUUGUACCUUCCCUGGGUCUGUGGGGCUUUCAGCAGCCUGGGCCAAAAAUAAUAAAAGUGGCACCGAGCCAGGAAACGCCUCCUUGAAGUGGGAAUGAAAUUUGGAUUUUUUUCGGUUGUAUCUUUCCUAAUUGACCUGAUAAUUUAAACUUCCUCCCUCAAGGGAAAGGUGGGGGUUCCCACAAAUUCAGCUUACCUCAGCCUCAAGGCAGCUCAGUCUACAGCUCAGCGCCCAUCAGCAGAGUGGGCAGUGGGCCUGUGGAAGAAAUGAAUCCAACUGAGCCAGAAAAGGCCUUUUUUGGUCCAAAUUUUUUUUUUCUUUCAGGCCCUCUCCUGUGUAUAACUGUCAUGCACCGCAUAACAACGUUUUGGUCAACUAGGGACCACAUAUGUAACUGGUCAUCCAGUAAGCUAUAGUUAUUUUAUUAUUGAAGAAAGAAAAUUUUUAGGCCAGGCGCUGUGGAGGCUCAUGCUUGUAAUCCCAGCAU
Molecule: long non-coding RNA, 1562 nt
Filed under: Homo sapiens (human)
Lineage: Eukaryota; Metazoa; Chordata; Mammalia; Primates; Hominidae
Description: non-protein coding lnc-TBX1-3:1
Source: RNAcentral